RNAcentral lists this ribosomal RNA (437 nucleotides) under uncultured bacterium. RNAcentral describes it as "bacterial SSU rRNA". It matches the Rfam family "Bacterial small subunit ribosomal RNA", at positions 28 to 448 of the family's 1533-position model. The record is from RNAcentral.
GAUGAACGCUGGCGGCGUGCUUAACACAUGCAAGUCGAACGGGAAUUACUUUAUUGAAACUUCGGUCGAUUUAAUUUAAUUCUAGUGGCGGACGGGUGAGUAACGCGUGGGUAACCUGCCUUGUACAGGGGGAUAACAGUCAGAAAUGACUGCUAAUACCGCAUAAGCGCACAGGACCGCAUGGUCCGGUGUGAAAAACUCCGGUGGUAUAAGAUGGACCCGCGUUGGAUUAGCUAGUUGGCAGGGUAACGGCCUACCAAGGCGACGAUCCAUAGCCGGCCUGAGAGGGUGAACGGCCACAUUGGGACUGAGACACGGCCCAGACUCCUACGGGAGGCAGCAGUGGGGAAUAUUGCACAAUGGGGGAAACCCUGAUGCAGCGACGCCGCGUGAAGGAAGAAGUAUCUCGGUAUGUAAACUUCUAUCAGCAGGGAAGA